GAUGAACGCUGGCGGCGUGCCUAAUACAUGCAAGUCGAGCGAACAGACGAGGAGCUUGCUCCUCUGACGUUAGCGGCGGACGGGUGAGUAACACGUGGAUAACCUACCUAUAAGACUGGGAUAACUUCGGGAAUCCGGAGCUAAUACCGGAUAAUAUAUUGAACCGCAUGGUUCAAUAGUGAAAGACGGUUUUGCUGUCACUUAUAGAUGGAUCCGCGCCGCAUUAGCUAGUUGGUAAGGUAACGGCUUACCAAGGCAACGAUGCGUAGCCGACCUGAGAGGGUGGUCGGCCACACUGGAACUGAGACACGGUCCAGACUCCUACGGGAGGCAGCAGUAGGGAAUCUUCCGCAAUGGGCGAAAGCCUGACGGAGCAACGCCGCGUGAGUGAUGAAGGUCUUCGGAUCGUAAAACUCUGUUAUUAGGGAAGAACAAAUUUGUAAGUAACUAUGCACGUCUUGACGGUACCUAAUCAGAAAGCCACGGCUAACUACGUG
This 497-nucleotide ribosomal RNA is filed under the name uncultured bacterium. RNAcentral describes it as "partial 16S ribosomal RNA". It matches the Rfam family "Bacterial small subunit ribosomal RNA", at positions 28 to 507 of the family's 1533-position model. The record is from RNAcentral.